RNAcentral lists this ribosomal RNA (254 nucleotides) under uncultured bacterium. RNAcentral describes it as "partial 16S ribosomal RNA". It matches the Rfam family "Bacterial small subunit ribosomal RNA", at positions 524 to 776 of the family's 1533-position model. The record is from RNAcentral.
UACGUAGGGUGCAAGCGUUAUCCGGAAUUAUUGGGCGUAAAGAGCUCGUAGGCGGUUUGUCGCGUCUGCUGUGAAAACUGGAGGCUCAACCUCCAACUUGCAGUGGGUACGGGCAGACUAGAGUGUGGUAGGGGAGACUGGAAUUCCUGGUGUAGCGGUGAAAUGCGCAGAUAUCAGGAGGAACACCGAUGGCGAAGGCAGGUCUCUGGGCCAUAACUGACGCUGAGAAGCGAAAAGCAUGGGGAGCGAACAGG